Molecule: ribosomal RNA, 982 nt
Filed under: Globisporangium hypogynum
Lineage: Eukaryota; Oomycota; Peronosporomycetes; Pythiales; Pythiaceae
Description: eukaryotic LSU rRNA
Rfam family: 5.8S ribosomal RNA (bases 281-435)
Source: RNAcentral
CGUAACAAGGUUUCCGUAGGUGAACCUGCGGAAGGAUCAUUACCACACCUUAAAACUAUCCACGUGAACCGUUUGUACCCAGAUUUGCGCCGAGAUUUUCGUGCGUGUUUGUUUGUAUCACUGUGUAUUCGUACGCGGUGUGUGGCAAAUAUGUAUGGAGCUUGGCUGAUCGAAGGUCGUAUCGCACUUUAUUGUGUGUGUCGGCUGACUUAUUUUUCAAACCCAUUACUUACUACUGAUUAUACUGUGAAGACGAAAGUCUUUGCUUUUACUAGAUAACAACUUUCAGCAGUGGAUGUCUAGGCUCGCACAUCGAUGAAGAACGCUGCGAACUGCGAUACGUAAUGCGAAUUGCAGAAUUCAGUGAGUCAUCGAAAUUUUGAACGCAUAUUGCACUUUCGGGUUAUACCUGGAAGUAUGUCUGUAUCAGUGUCCGUACAUCAAACUUGCCUCUCUUUAUUGGUGUAGUCCAAUAUCGAGCAGAGCAGAUCUGAGGUGUCUCGCGGCUGUUGUGUAUAGAAGGUUUGUAUGAACUUUAUAUACCAAGCUUCGAGUCCCUUUAAAACGACACGAUCUUUCUAUUUGCUUUCUACAGAGCGCAUAUUUCGAACGCGGCGGUCCUCGGAUCACUCGCAGUCGACAGCGAUUUCGGCAGAGACGUAUGGGAGAAACCUCUAUUCGCGGUACGUUAGGCUUCGGCUCGACAAUGUUGCGAUAUAGUGUGUGGCUCUCGUCUUUGUCUUGAGGUGUACUGUUGGUUGUGGGUUUGAACCUUGUGUAUUGUUUUGUUAGUAGAGUUGUGUUGUUUUUUCUGUGGUUGGAUUCCAUAUGCACGCAAGUGUUUUGUGGGUAGAGAGAUUCUAUUUGGGAAAUUUGUACUGCAUGAGCCUUCUGGCUAGUGUAUGUAUCUCAAUUGGACCUGAUAUCANACAAGACUACCCGCUGAACUUAAGCAUAUCAAUAAGCGGAGGAAAAGAAACAA